GACGAACGCUGGCGGCGUGCUUAACACAUGCAAGUCGAACGGAAAGGCCCUGCUUUUGUGGGGUGCUCGAGUGGCGAACGGGUGAGUAACACGUGAGUAACCUGCCCUUGACUUUGGGAUAACUUCAGGAAACUGGGGCUAAUACCGGAUAGGAGCUCCUGCUGCAUGGUGGGGGUUGGAAAGUUUCGGCGGUUGGGGAUGGACUCGCGGGUUAUCAGCUUGUUGGUGGGGUAGUGGCUUACCAAGGCUUUGACGGGUAGCCGGCCUGAGAGGGUGACCGGCCACAUUGGGACUGAGAGACGGACCAGACUCCUACGGGAGGCAGCAGUGGGGAAUAUUGCACAAUGGGCGGAAGCCUGAUGCAGCAACGCCGCGUGCGGGAUGACGGCCUUCGGGUUGUAAACCGCUUUCGCCUGUGACGAAGCGUGAGUGACGGUAAUGGGUAAAGAAGCACCGGCUAACUACGUG
Molecule: ribosomal RNA, 468 nt
Filed under: uncultured bacterium
Lineage: Bacteria
Description: partial 16S ribosomal RNA
Rfam family: Bacterial small subunit ribosomal RNA
Source: RNAcentral